This 387-nucleotide ribosomal RNA is filed under the name uncultured bacterium. RNAcentral's name for it is "bacterial SSU rRNA". It matches the Rfam family "Bacterial small subunit ribosomal RNA", at positions 29 to 419 of the family's 1533-position model. The record is from RNAcentral.
AUUGAACGCUGGCGGAAUGCUUUACACAUGCAAGUCGAGCGGCAGCGCGGGGCAACCUGGCGGCGAGCGGCGAACGGGUGAGUAAUACAUCGGAACGUGCCCAGACGUGGGGGAUAACUACUCGAAAGAGUGGCUAAUACCGCAUACGAUCUAAGGAUGAAAGCGGGGGAUCGCAAGACCUCGCGCGUUUGGAGCGGCCGAUGGCAGAUUAGGUAGUUGGUGGGGUAAAGGCUUACCAAGCCCGCGAUCUGUAGCCGGUCUGAGAGGAUGAUCAGCCACACUGGGACUGAGACACGGUCCAGACUCCUACGGGAGGCAGCAGUGGGGAAUUUUGGACAAUGGGCGCAAGCCUGAUCCAGCCAUGCCGCGUGAGUGAAGAAGGCCUUC